GAUGGUUGCACGGUUGGAGUCCAGUUCUGUAAUACACAGGGAUUGUAGAAAGGGACUUAACAGCUUCUGUAAAGUAAGGAGAACUAUUUGCACUGCAUUUAGGAGUAUUUGCAUGAUCAGGCUCUAAAUCAUCAUAAAAAUGACAGCUUCAAAUUGCCUAUUGGACUUCAGAAGAAAAUAAUAAAGCUUAGGGUGUCAUAUGGACAUCUCGAGUUUCUUCAGCAAGCUAGGAAGCAUUUCCUUUGGUCAACCUGAAUGUCUGUGGAACAGACUCGUGGACUUCUAAACACCUUCCAAGCUCUGUGUGAAAAAUGACCCAUAUGGAUCAUGCCCUGAAACUGACCACCUCAAAAUGACUGUUGCAAUACACAUAGAAGUCAAUGGAAGGUUAUCAAGACUUACAGGAAUAAUUUGACACAGCUAAACAUCUGCUUUGUCUUCAAAGAUACAGAAGAAAAAAGAAAGAGAAGAAAGUUCUGAGAGAGGAAAUUGCACAGAAAUUGCAUAAAUCCUUACUGUCAAUUGCGUCAGCUAGUGAUUUCCUUACUCUAAACCAGAUGAAGAAUUUCAGUUCUAUGACAUUUGAGGUUUCAUAUUUGCUGUGUAAGCUACUGAGAAGAGAACCAGCUCAAAGCUUGCUUUCUGAGGCAUUUCUUGCGAUAAGACUCUGACUUAGAUGAGAGAUGGGUGUUGCCCUGUGGCAAUCAACAUCACCAUUUUACAUUUGAAAGCAUUUCUCUGGAGCCGUUUGCCUCCAGAAGAGAGUGCUUAGGAAUGUUUACUGACGGAAGAUCUGGCCUGUGACUAAAUAGUCCCAGCUUGGUGUGGGAAAACUGGGGAAUGAUACCAUCAUGUCCUGGGAAAAACAGGUUGGAGAUGGGCAUCCCUGCUCCCUCUCAUCUGCUGGCAAGGCCCGGAAAAUGGUAACAAAGCUGUUUCUGCUGAGAUCCCAGAGCCAGUAACUGCCACUCCAAGGAGAGUGGACUCAACCAUUUUGGAUUCGAGCUGUCACUCAAAAGAGAGCUGACUCGGCCACUUUGGACAUAUUUAUAAGUUUGUACUGUUGUUGUCAUUGUUGUUGUGGACACCCUUGUCAACAGAACAACAAUGCCCAACGACCCACCACUACUGAAGAUCAGUGACUGAACUACAAACCACGUUGGACCAUGGUGUUGACUAUCUCCCUCUUGCUUCCUAUAAGCUCCCUUGCUUCUAUUUCCUAUCUUUUCAAUCGCCCUUCUCUCCUUCCCCAUCUCCCUGAAUGACUAGGAUUUGUAAUAAACUGGUCAGGCCAACAUUUGAACUAUUGUUUCUUAAUCUCAUGCCGGGUAUACACACAAAGAACUUCCUCUCCCUCCAAUAGAUUGGAGAAAGAGACUAGUAAAUGAACAAGUAGACAAAAAAAGUAGCCCUUUACCUAAAAUUCUCAUGUCUCCUUAGGGGGAGGAAAAAAAAGAAAAAGUGAUGCGUGGAAUAUCAGUCCCUCAAAUUGCUUUGCAGAAGGAAAGCUUCUGUAUGAGUUAACUGCCUUGAUUAAUAUUAUUUGAAAAUGAUAGAAGUUAAAUAUCUCAUAAAUUAAGCUAUUUAUAGCUCUAAAGCUCAAUUUAUGAGCAAAGAACUCAGUGAAAUUAUAUACUUCCAUUAGAUUUUGAUUAAUACAAAGUUAAAUGGGUAUUUUACAAUCAGAAACAGAACUUAAACACAACAAACUUUCUACUUAAACUUGUUUGAAUUUUUUUCCCCAUUUCAUGAUACAUUACUGCAAGCAGUUUUUGCAGACUUAAUUUUUCCUCACCAUUUCUCAGUAGGUGUUAGUAACAAAGAGUCUACAAAUAGUAUUUGUUCUUUUAUAUCGCAUUUGAACUGGGAAGUUCAAACCGCUUUUAAAUGUUAAAAUAAACAAAAGAAAAAAUAAAAAGACUAACACAAAGAAAGAAACAGAGAAAGAAAUAAAAGAAAGAGGAAGAAAAAGAAGUUUUCUGAAAUAAAUUGCCUCUGAAAUAAUUUUAAACUCUGUAAGAAUUAUCAGCUUCUUACAUCUAGUAGAGAAAGUGUAAUAUGAAGGAACCACUAAAUUCAUAUCUCAGUGAUUACAAAACAGUAUUUCUGUGUCUCUGGUACAUGAGAUUACAGUGCUCUGAGAUGUUUGUAAAACCAAGGAAUCUGUAUUGAUAACUAAGGGAACUAACAAACAGAUUAAGAAAUAGGCUGCUUUCCAGUGGGGCUAAAAAUUUUCCCCCAAGUCCUGUAAGUAAAUGCUUACCAGCAUGACUAAGGCUGGCAGAAACUCACCUUCAAGAAAUAAAAAUAUAAGUCUCAGAAUAAGCAAGUGUGAUUAUGUAUGAAUGUCUAAGUAAAGGCAGGAAGAGAAGGGAGGAAAUGCAGAAAUUGUGGUUUGAUAAUUUCUAGGUAAAUUGCUUUAAACCAAAAUGAACUCGCUUAACCUUAAAUUGGUAACUGAUGCAAAGAACUGCAUUAAUAAUGCAGUUAUUAUGACCUCAUUAAUAUUAAUGACAGAAUGAAAAAACAUUUUGCUUAACUCUGUACAAAAUUUACUUAGAAAGCAUUCUAUUAAUAGACACAAAUCAAUUCUAUGUGGAAAAUCAAUUAAAAAGGUAUGAACUUUUGAAACAAUUAUUAAA
This is a long non-coding RNA of Gallus gallus (chicken), 2642 nucleotides long. The record is from Ensembl. Lineage: Eukaryota; Metazoa; Chordata; Aves; Galliformes; Phasianidae.